Long non-coding RNA from Phyllostomus discolor (pale spear-nosed bat), 884 nucleotides. RefSeq lists it as uncharacterized. The transcript is spliced from 3 exons. NCBI's taxonomy places the organism in Eukaryota, Metazoa, Chordata, Mammalia, Chiroptera, Phyllostomidae. The record is from RefSeq and is a predicted model, not a curated record.
CACGCUCUACCGUGGGUAGUUGAGGAUAAGGGCUAGGGUUUGGGCCUUGAUCACAGCUGGAGGUCUGGCUGUCGUUGGAGUUCAGCUUUUGCUAAGAGAGCCAACUGCCUACACUAAGGGGCAGGAGGGGUUUAUGGCGCGGUACCGGAAGGGCGUUGUUAUCCUGGGGACUAGGAGUGGAAACUUUCCUCCCAGGAAAGGAAAAAACCCAGAGUGGACAAAGGACACCUCAUCACUACUACCAUCACCACCCCAAAAGAAAAAAAUAAUUUUUUGACAGGGUUAAGGUCACUCCCAGUCUAAACUGCACACCCUGCAUGAGAUUAAAAAUGGCCACAAGCUCUGCUCUUUGCAACAACUCCCAUAAAAAAGUUGGAUCAAUUUCCUACCUCUUGAGUAAACAGGGCUUGUGACGUUUCUUGACCAAGAGAAUGCCCUGGAAAUGAGUUUCAAGCCUAACCAGCAGAGACAUUACAGCUUCCACAUGCAUGCUGUUGGAGUGCUAAGGCCCAAGAUGAUAGACACGUGGAGAGACACCUGGCAGCCCAUAGAGCUGAUGUCCCAGGAAUGUGAGACCAUCUGAGACUGCCCAGCCAAUCCACAGAAUCAUGAAAGAUAAUGCAUCACUGUUGUUUUAAACUACUACCUUUAGGAUGAUUCAUUACACCGCAAAAGCUAAUUGAAACAUCAUCUGUUUUGUGUGUCUGUUUUGUGUUUUAUUCAUUCGCACAUGAAAUAUUUAUUGGCUACUUACUCUGCACCUAGCACUCUUCAAGACAUGGGAAUGCAGCACCGAACAAAUCAGGCACAAGUGUGCAUGAGCAUUUUCAGUAAAGAGAGACUUACUGCUUAGGGGAAUAGCCUUUUCCGACUCUAUAGUAUUA